Molecule: long non-coding RNA, 4186 nt
Filed under: Equus caballus (horse)
Lineage: Eukaryota; Metazoa; Chordata; Mammalia; Perissodactyla; Equidae
Description: lncRNA (ENSECAG00000051038.1)
Source: RNAcentral
CUCUGAGGGAGUCAGUGUGCUCUCAGAAUCCAGUCCUGUGGGCAAGCAGGAGGCGUAGUCUUUCUUCCCUUCCUUUCCCUAAGCUCACCAAGCUGUUCUUUUGAAACUUAUGACCAUCGCCCCAUCAAACCUUCUUCAACUUAAAGUCCAGGGCUGACCUGGGAGCCCUGCUUUGUUGGUAACGGGGAACACAAAAGCUGAAAAUGCCUGGAAGAGUGUGGCUUCCUGUAGCUGCAGGCCAGAGAUGUAACACCUGGGGCACUGGGUGGACCACAGAAAUAUGUUUGAUGAGAAAACUGCUAUUCUCCAUUUCUCUUCGUUGUUCUGAGCCAGGUCUCUGCCUCUUUCCUAGGGAGGAAAUUUGGUAGCAAGUGUCAGAAAAGUUAACGUCUAAGAUUGGAAUAGGUUCCUAGGGGAUGAAGGUGGGGAUGGUCAUCUCCCUUUCUACCAAACUUAGAGACAUAACGUGAUGACUCUCUUACCAUCCUUCACCCUCGCAUCUCUAGAAAGGACGAUUUUGGGGUAGCCCAGCAGCUGUAGCCUUAAGUGAAAUCGGGAGGAAAUUAUAGUUUAUCUUGGGUGUCCUCCUUUCUUUUCUGUGCCUCUCCCCUGUCCCUUUGCAUUGUUCUCUUCUCCUUCCAAGUUAUUUCUGUCCAGGAGAUUAUGUCCUCCAUCUGCUCUACCCAGAAGUGCCCAGACAGACCUCCUGGGGCAGGAGCACAUACUAGAAAAGGACUACACCUUUCUGCUUCUUCCACACUUCAUCACUACUCUGGUUCCUUUGGGGGGUUUAUCCUAGCUGGUAGUUAGGAGAAAAGCAUCUAAUUAAGAUAAUUCAAAUUAAAGUCAUGAAAAUGCUCUUCUUAAAGAGCUUGGCUAUUUCCCCAUACUCCUAAAAAUAGCCAACAUAGGCUACCCAAUUGGGCUGACAUGGGGGAAUCUUCUUUAAACCGUGACUCUCUCCUCUUUCUCCCUUUUAUAGUCUACAGUCUCUGUAGGCAACUUUAGAGAAGGCCAGACUCUCUUCCCUCCUCUCAUGCCUCACUGAGAAAUUUCCCAGAAAUUUAAGCUGGAAGCUAGGAAAUAACCCCAGUAAUGGUUUCCUGAAAUGCACUGGGCAUUUUCAACUUGACAGGUCCUUGAGUGAGUGUCUACAUCUCUGUAGCAGGAAGUUGCCAUGAUCCUUAUCACUCUUCCCUGGUCCCCUCAUAUCCCCAGAAAUCCAGAGCUUCCAGAAACAGAGUAGAUUGUUGACCUCAGGAGAAAGUAGAUGCAAUGGACUGUUUGUGAUGAGGGGGGAUUCGAUAAUCUCCUGGAACAGAAAUAAUGAAGAUGCAGGCCAGCCUUUACCAUUUAUGACCUGUUUUCUUGGUCUGAUUUGCCCCUUUGGGAGAAACUUAGGGGGCAGGAGCACAAGAAUGGGGGCCCAUAAACACGCCUCAUGUUCUCUGAAGUAAGGUUAAGAGGCAGCCUAGAUAAAAGCUCUCUUUCUGCUUGUCAGAGGCUACAGAGAUGGUGUGGUUCAGGUGUCUGUCACGGUUAAUUUCAUGGGUCAACUUGACUGGGUUAAGGGAUGCCCAGAUAGCUGGUAAAACAUUAGUUCUGAGGGUGCUUCUAGAAAAUAUUAACAUUUGAAUUGGAAGAUUGAUUUGAAGAAGUCAUGGUAAAGAAUCCUCACCAAUGUGGUUGGGCAUCAUCUAAUCCACUCAGGGCUCAAAUAGGGCAAAAAGGAAGAGGAAGAGUGAAUUUGCCCUCUGCUUGAGCUGGGAUAUCCUCUUCUCCUGCACUUGGACAUAGGCGCUCCUGGUUCUCAGGCCUUUAGACUUAGACCAGGACUUACACCAUCGGCCCCCUGAGUUUCAGGCCUUUGGACUCAGACUUACACCACUGGCUCCUCUGGUCCUCAGACUUUCGAAUGGGGACCAAAUUACACCAUUGGUUUUCUUGGUUCUCCAGCUGGCAGACUGUGGGACUUCUCGGCCAAUUCCUGUCAUCAAUCUUUCCAUAUAUCUGUAUCUCUAUCUAUGCAUCUAUAUCUAUAUUUUUAUUUAUCCUAUUGGUUCUGUUUCUCUGGAGAACUCUGACUAAAACAGCAUCUCUACAUAAUUUCCCCCAAAUCAAUAAGGGACUAAAUGGAGCUGAAGUUCUUAUUCUCCAUUUCAGUUUACUUCCUUAAGCAAAUGUGGAAUGUUGCGGAAGACAGAUCUUGUAUAUUCAUUAGGAUUUUGUCAGCUUAAAAGGCAAGAAGGGAGGGAUUUGUUGACUUGUGUACCAGGAAAUCUAAAACAUGACUCUUCAGAGGUGACUGGGUUUAGGGGUUUAAAUAAUGUCGUUAGCUCUGUCUCCCCAUCGUUGGCUUGUUUGCCCCUGUGUUGGCUUCAUUCCCAGGUAGGCUUUCCCCACCUUCUGGACAAGAUGGCCUCCAGCGGCAGUGGCUAUUACUUUGUUUAUGUCUUUCCCACUAUUCAAAAGUAUUCCUGUCCCUUCAAAAGGCCGAUAGGCCUGGCUUGGUCCAAGGGUCCUUACCUGAAGCGACCAUUACAGCUGGGAGGAUGAAGUCCCUGAUGGCUAGCUCACAUCUUGAGCCUGCCAUGUUCGGGAAGACCAGGCAGGGGAUUGGCCAUCCGGUUAGGUAGAGGAGGAACAAUUCUCAAAAGGAAAAUAUACUGGCAGAUAAAAAGUAACAUAUCCAUACAGUUUUAUACUAGCUCAAAAGCUAAUUCAAAUGAACAAGCAAUAGGGCGAGAGAUGUGAGCAAUACAGAGAUUUAUAAGACAGGCUUUUUGUCCUUAAAGAGCAUAUAAUCUAGUUGUUCUGGAAGUUGGCCACAUUCUUUAUUUAAUAAUUUGAGGAAACAUGAAUGACUUCAUUGGAAAAUAUUUUCUGAGUUCUUACUUAAUGCCGGGCAUCAUGCUAGAUUCCUGUCAUACAAGGAAGAAAGACAAACCUCUUCCCACGAGGAGCUUACAGUCAGGUGGGAGAGACAAGUAAACCAGCAAACGUUUUCAAUGCGGGGCCCCAAGAGCAAUGAUAGACGUGUGCACAGCUGUUAUGAGAGCCCCAAAGGCGCCUAUUCGACAUUAGGCUCAGAGGAGCUGACAUGUGAGCCAAAGCUGGAAAAGCAAGUGGGCGUCAGGUGAGGGUCGGGGAGGGUUUUGCAGGCAAAGGGACCAGCAUCUGCAAAGGUCCAGGGGUGUGCAGUAGGGUGCUGUGUUUAGAGAAUUGUAGAUAGUUUGAAUGAAGUUUAUGAGGGGAUACGAGACAGAUGAACCCAAAGAGGUAGGCAGGAGCCAGAUCACGGAGAGCCCUGUGCCAGACACACAGAUGUGAGCUUGUCCCUGAGGGAUUUUAAACAGGGCAUGGACGUGUCCAGAUCCGCAACUGAGCAUGCAGCUUCUGGCAACAGAUGGAGUAGAGUGAGCCAGACCGGAGGCACGAGGAGUAGUGAGAAGGCUGCUGUGGGAGAGGGCGGAAGAUAUGAAGAGGACUUCCUCACAGAGAAUGCCAGCUCGUAAAGUAGGAGAACUAGCAAAAUCACCAUUUUACAACCCCGAUUAAGGUGAUGCUGGAGAAUUGGGGAAUGAAGUGUCUUGAUAUCGUCAACCUACUUUCAAAUGGCUCCAGAAAAUGUUUAAGAUGUUAAGGAGAGACUGUAACAGGAGUAACUCGCGGACUCUUCCGAUGAUUUCUACUGCCCUUGGAAACCUCCGUAUCACUCCUGCAAUUCCUAACACCUGAUUCUUCUCGUCUCAGAGCAAGAGGGGAGAAGAGCCUUGGCUCAAGGUUGAAGCGGGGCUGGGCAUGUCCUAGGAACACGGCUCCUCCGCGGGGAAUGCGCCUGAGAGCUGGGCUGUCAGUUGGCAGGGAUGUUGUUAUCAGCACUCUGCUGUUCAACUUCACUAUUUGUUCCAAAAAUGGUCAUUGUGAUAACUCAGAAUUAAAUCUCUGGCUGUCCCUUUAACCAUGUGGUUAGCGGCCUGAAUUGCUUAUCCCCAGAGCUGCCUGUGGGUCAUGGGGAGAAAAAACAAGGACAGUGUGUUUCCUUGACUCAGACAAGCUUGCUCCAGGCCAAUGUGGUGACACACUUGUCUCCCUUCCAUUAUCUGGGGCCUGACCCCAGCAUGACACAUUUCCCCGGCCUGAGGCUAGAGGUGUCAGACAGAUCCCGGCUCCAAACAGAAGGUCA